GACGAACGCUGGCGGCGCGCCUAACACAUGCAAGUCGAGCGAAGCGUCUUAAAGGAAGUUUUCGGAUGGAAUUUGGGAUGACUGAGUGGCGGACGGGUGAGUAACGCGUGGAUAACCUGCCUCGUACAGGGGGAUAACAGCUAGAAAUGGCUGCUAAUACCGCAUAAGCGCACAGUGCCGCAUGGCAGUGUGUGAAAAACUCCGGUGGUAUGAGAUGGAUCCGCGUCUGAUUAGCCAGUUGGCGGGGUAACGGCCCACCAAAGCGACGAUCAGUAGCCGGCCUGAGAGGGCGACCGGCCACAUUGGAACUGAGACACGGUCCAG
RNAcentral lists this ribosomal RNA (324 nucleotides) under uncultured bacterium. Its description in RNAcentral is "bacterial SSU rRNA". It matches the Rfam family "Bacterial small subunit ribosomal RNA", at positions 28 to 334 of the family's 1533-position model. The record is from RNAcentral.